RNAcentral lists this ribosomal RNA (404 nucleotides) under uncultured bacterium. RNAcentral describes it as "partial 16S ribosomal RNA". It matches the Rfam family "Bacterial small subunit ribosomal RNA", at positions 28 to 526 of the family's 1533-position model. The record is from RNAcentral.
GACGAACGCUGGCGGCGUGCUUAACACAUGCAAGUCGAGCGGAGCGGCGAACGGGUGAGUAACGCGUGAGUAACUGCACCCCUCUCUGGGGUAACAGUUGGAAACGGCUGCUAAUACCGGAUAGUGGGGGAUGACUCGCGCUCUAUCAGCUUGUUGGGGGGGUAGUGGCCUGCCAAGGCGGCGACGGGUAGCCGGCCUGAGAGGGGGACCGGCCACCUUGGGCUGUGCUACGGCCCAAACUCCUACUGGAGGCAGCAGUGGGGAGUAUUGCACAACUGGGCAAACCCUUGUGUAGCAAACCGCGUGCGGAAUGACGGCCUUCGGGUUGUAAACCUCUUUCAGCCAUGACGCGGUAGUGGCAGAAGAAGCACCGGCUAACUACGUGCCAGCAGCCGCGGUAAUUC